AGCGAACGCUGGCGGCAGGCCUAACACAUGCAAGUCGAACGAACUCUUCGGAGUUAGUGGCGGACGGGUGAGUCACACGUGGGAACGUGCCUUUCGGCUGGGAAUAACUCAGGGAAACUUGUGCUAAUACCGAAUGUGCCCUUCGGGGGAAAGAUGUAUCGACUUGAGAGCGGCCCGGGUCUGAUUAGCUAGGUGGUGGGGUAAUGGCUCGCCAAGGCUACGAUCAGUAGCUGGUCUGAGAGGAUGACCAGCCACAUUGGGACUGGGACACGGCGCAAACUCCUACGGGAGGCAGCAGUGGGGAAUCUUGCGCAAUGGCGAAAGCCUGACGCAGCCAUGCCGCGUGGAUGAUGAAGGUCUUAGGAUUGUAAAAUCCUUUCACCGGUGAAGAUAAUGACUGUAGCCGGAGAAGAAGCCCCGGCUAACUUCGUGCCAGCCGCCGCGGUAA
Molecule: ribosomal RNA, 448 nt
Filed under: uncultured bacterium
Lineage: Bacteria
Description: partial 16S ribosomal RNA
Rfam family: Bacterial small subunit ribosomal RNA
Source: RNAcentral